This 492-nucleotide ribosomal RNA is filed under the name uncultured bacterium. Its description in RNAcentral is "partial 16S ribosomal RNA". It matches the Rfam family "Bacterial small subunit ribosomal RNA", at positions 29 to 507 of the family's 1533-position model. The record is from RNAcentral.
AGUGAACGCUGGCGGUGGGCCUAACACAUGCAAGUCGAACGGCAGCACAGUAAGAGCUUGCUCUUACGGGUGGCGAGUGGCGGACGGGUGAGGAAUACAUCGGAAUCUACUUUUUCGUGGGGGAUAACGUAGGGAAACUUACGCUAAUACCGCAUACGACCUACGGGUGAAAGCAGGGGAUCUUCGGACCUUGCGCGAUUGAAUGAGCCGAUGUCGGAUUAGCUAGUUGGCGGGGUAAAGGCCCACCAAGGCGACGAUCCGUAGCUGGUCUGAGAGGAUGAUCAGCCACACUGGAGCUGAGACACGGUCCAGACUCCUACGGGAGGCAGCAGUGGGGAAUAUUGGACAAUGGGCGCAAGCCUUAUCCAGCUAUACCGCGUGGGUGAAGAAGGCCUUCGGGUUGUAAAGCCCUUUUGUUGGGAAAGAAAAGCAGCAGGUUAAUACCCCGCUGUUCUGACGGUACCCAAAGAAUAAGCACCGGCUAACUUCGUG